UAGCCCAAGCUAUUAAAAAUUAGUAUAUUAAAGUUUUGGUUUGUGUUGUAGAAAUGUGUGCGUAUUGCCAGCUGUAGCUGUUGCUCCUCCAUAUUUGUAUGUAGCAAAACCUCCUUAUACCCACAAAAUGAAGGUCCUGAAGUUUAAUCUGAAGGAACAGAUACUUCCCUACUUCCAUUCAAUGCAGCCUCAUUUUCUACAGUUCCAGAUCCCCGACUGGUGCAGCGUGAUUCAGGCAAGGUGGAAGCUCUGGCUGUCUUGCUUCAAAAAAGCUGAAAGCAAGAGGACACCGUGUAUUGAUUUUGACGCAGAUGAUUCCAGUUCUUAAUAUACUGGAGUUUUUCGUGAACUUCCAUUUUCUCACAUACGUAAGAGUUAAUGAAAGUGGUGCUCACAGUUGGCAUUAUCUGGAAUCCAUUAAAAAGUUCAAGCAAGAGACGCGAUUCUCCUGUGCUAUUCCUUCUUCCCACACUCCUUCCACAGGUGUCAGCCAUGUAGAUGCGAAUACUGUUGUCUUCUGUGACACUGAUUUAGAUCCACUGAUGGAUACAAAGGCUAAAGAACGGUGUGAUAAAAUUGCGAUGGAGAUAUUCACAUAUACAGGCUUAUACGUGGUAAUUCUGUUGAAGAGAGGCUGUUGAGAAAAGGUAUUAAACAUUGGAUUCAAGUGGCUGCUCAGGGAGAUGAUUGUUCAACAACUUUUUAACUCAGGUAUUGUGACAUUAAGAAUGUGAGCAGUUCUUUAAUGUUAUGUAAAAAAUUAGUGCCUACUAGGUCAGAGUCAGAAUUUGAAACAUUAUCUAAUUUUCUAUUUAUUUCCAGACUUAUUUGGAGGUCAGUGGUAUGUGAUCACAGUUAAAAUCAGUAAAAAACUUGAGUUCUUAGCUCAUGUACAAAAUCACAAGAUAAAAACAUCUAGAAAGAAAACCGUUUGUUCCAAUGAUAGUUUUAUGCUAUUUUUGGCAUUGUUUUAAUUAAACAGAAACAGCAUGUCCUGCAGCAAAAGGUGUCAAAUAUGUCUGUAACCUGACUUUUCUAAACUUAAAUUUAGGAUGAUUAAAAAACUUUUGACAUCACACAUUGUCUUACUGAAUACUUGAAAACAUGUUUCCAUAAGGUUAUUUGCUCUGAAAAUGGAAAAGAGGAUUCCAGGAAGUUUACAGAAGGGACACUAUCUGAGAUAUGAAAUUACACAGAUUCAUAGUUGUGUGAUUCCAGAAAUACCAUGGUUCCUUCACAGUUAGAACAGCUGCCUAGCUUUGUGGAUCACUUGUGAUGAUUUCUCUUGUUUUAUGUAAAACUUUAGAAAUAUUUGAAAUUUAUUUUCCUGUGCAACAAUCAAACAACUUUCAUAAGGUACUUUAUUUCCACUCCAUUUACAUGAAACAGUUCCAUGCAAACUUAAAUACUGAAACAAUUCUGGGAGGUAAUGUGACCUUGUAGAUAGAUCUGUUUACCUACUGAAACAUUUAAGUCACCAAAUGUUCUCCUGAGAAUUGAAGUGCUUUGGACUAAAUUGUAUCUUGUGAGAUAAGACUGUUUUACAGUCCCGUGCUUUGUGUUUUUUCUUCAAGGCCUUGGAUCUGUUUUUUCUUAAUCAUGAAAUGACUAUUCUCGGCAUUCCCUAAAGUCUGUCAGAUUCUGAUUGUCUCCUUUUCCCUUUGGCUACUUGUGCAGAACCCAAAUAGCAGCCUGCUUGCUAACAACCGGUCAAGAGUGUGCGUAAUAACUUGGAGGGGUUUCUCUCUUUUUUUUUUUUUUUUACUUUUUUUUUAUUUUCGGUUAAGAAAAUAGAAGCCAAUAGUUGCAGCCUAUUCUCAGUGAUACUGGUGGGACAUGAACAGACUAGCUAAGGACCAGAAUAUCAGAUUUUUGGUCCUUAGGUCUCUUUUCUACCUUAAUUAUGGUGCUAUUAUUUGUAACUGAAAUAAAUACAUUUAUUGGUUGGUUUAUUUUUCUGCUUGGUUUUAAAUCACUGGUUAUUUUCAUGUUUCUAAUUCAAAAGCUAACUAACUAGCAGAGUGUCAAAAUGUUUUUCCGAACAGCUUAAGCCAAUUGAAAAGUAUGUGUUGAAUUUCUUUAAUCGUUUCAUACUUUGAUCAAAAAAGCCAGAAAGCCAAUAAGGAGUUAAAAACUGCAAAUAUAAAAUAGGAAUAUCAUCAUGCCAAGAAGCUGGAAAAGGCAGAAGAAAAAUUUCAGCAGGAAGUGAAAGAGGAACUCUUAAUGUAUACCAGACAAGAUGCUUAAAACAAGGUAACAUCAAGGGAUCUCCAAGUCCCUGCUUUUUGAAGAAUUUUCACGUUGUGACUGUGAGCCAUGUAUGUCUGUUGGGUUCACACUGCACUGGUCUCGUGCCCUUACACAGUUACUGUGCUCUCGAAGCUGGCACUCUGUGGACAGUUCUAAUUCUGUAGAGUAGCAGGUUGCAGUGUUGGCAGAACUGUGGGUUGGUAGGUUGACUUGGAAUGGAAAUGCACAGUCCUGUAUUAAGGUAACAAUAACUGAAGGAAGAGAUGGAGAAAAAUACUGAAAAUUAAACAUCAUUCCUUUUUUUUUUUUUUUUUUUUCCUAGUGUAAUUUUUGAAUUAUUGUUAUUUCAAACAAGCUCAGGUUUGUAAAUGCUAGGUUCUGGGCUGGAUGAUGUAUUGAGGUUAUCAAAAAUUCUUUGUUUCUCAUACAAGAAUUUGUCUGUGAUGGACCAGAUGGAGAAAUAGAAAUAACAG
Molecule: long non-coding RNA, 2723 nt
Organism: Athene cunicularia (burrowing owl)
Lineage: Eukaryota; Metazoa; Chordata; Aves; Strigiformes; Strigidae
Exons: 5
Source: RefSeq, a predicted model, not a curated record